GGCCUCGUAGUUCAAUUGGAUAGAAUAUCAGAUUUCGGCUCUGAGGGUUGGGGGUUUGAAUCCCUCCG
RNAcentral lists this transfer RNA (68 nucleotides) under Xanthomarina gelatinilytica. Its description in RNAcentral is "tRNA-Arg". It matches the Rfam family "tRNA". Rfam says of the family: Transfer RNA (tRNA) molecules are approximately 80 nucleotides in length. The record is from RNAcentral. Lineage: Bacteria; Pseudomonadati; Bacteroidota; Flavobacteriia; Flavobacteriales; Flavobacteriaceae.